UGGGGAAUUUUACGCAAUGGGGGAAACCCUGACGCAGCAACGCCGCGUGAGUGAUGAAGGCCUUCGGGUCGUAAAGCUCUGUCAGAGGGAAAGAAGUGCGAGAGGGUUAAUACCCCUUUUGCUUGACGGUACCCUCAAAGGAAGCACCGGCUAACUCCGUGCCAGCAGCCGCGGUAAUACGGAGGGUGCGAGCGUUGUUCGGAAUUAUUGGGCGUAAAGCGCGUGUAGGCGGUCUUUUAAGUCUGAUGUGAAAGCCCCGGGCUCAACCUGGGAAGUGCAUUGGAAACUGGGAGACUUGAAUACGGGAGAUGGUAGUGGAAUUCCUAGUGUAGGGGUGAAAUCCGUAGAUAUUAGUAGGAACAACGGUGGCGAAGGCGGCUACCUGGACCGAUGUUGACGCUGAGACGCGAGAGCGUGGGGAGCAAACA
This 428-nucleotide ribosomal RNA is filed under the name uncultured prokaryote. RNAcentral describes it as "bacterial SSU rRNA". It matches the Rfam family "Bacterial small subunit ribosomal RNA", at positions 355 to 774 of the family's 1533-position model. The record is from RNAcentral.